Molecule: non-coding RNA, 767 nt
Organism: Solanum lycopersicum (tomato)
Lineage: Eukaryota; Viridiplantae; Streptophyta; Magnoliopsida; Solanales; Solanaceae
Source: RefSeq, a predicted model, not a curated record
ACCCUAUUCUAUUUUCUGAACCAGCAAAUAACUCAUCCUAUCUCCAACAAUUUCAACGAAUGACAGAGAUCCCCAUUUCUGUUUUGGUCAGGCGCAAUCCCCCUGUCUCUCCUUCAUCCACAUCUCUUUUUUUUUUUAAUUCGAUCAACAAGAAUUCAAAUAUACUUUUGAAAUCUCUUAUGAAUUCAGCCCAAAGUUGCAAAAUCAGAAGAUAAAUAACAGGCCUUGCAUUCAUUUUUGUGGAUGCCUUUUGCCCCGCACCUGAAACCACUGUUUUAUGCUCGUCUGAAGAAAGUUUUGAGGAGGAACUUCGUGUAGGCGUCGGAAUCAAUCUCUCGUUCACUGCCCUGCAACAGCCAGCGAGACUUGAUCAUUAAUGAGGUAUGUGAUGAACAAGCUGAUGAGGUCGCGGAUACAGCAGAUUUGAGGUACCUCUAUUUCUUUAACAGGAUUAAUCCAUUUUAUCUUGGGAGAAAUUAAUCCAUAACCUCAGGUACAGUGAGGGGAUUAAAUUUAUUAAGGACGCACAGUAGUUUCUGUGGACUCGAAUUACUUCUUGUAAAUUAUUUUUUGUUUCAUCUUAUUCCGUUUCUGCCGUUUUAGGCUAACCUUAUAAUACAGGUUGUAUAACAAUUAUAUACUCUGGCUAUUUCAUGUCAUAGUUUUCUAAGAGAAGAGACUAUAUGUCUUAGGAAGAUGUAAUAGAAUUUAUCUUCUAUGGGAUAACCCAUUUUCCAUUACAUCAAAAUAAAAUUAUUAUAAUCAAA